UUUCAGUCGAUGGAAGUUUGAGGCAAUAACAGGUCUGUGAUGCCCUUAGAUGUUCUGGGCCGCACGCGCGCUACAAUGCUUGGUUCAACGAGUUUUUACUUGGCUGAGAGGCCUGGUUAAUCUUUUGAAAUCCAAGCGUGCUUGGGCUUGCCUCUUGCAACUAGAGGCACCAACGAGGAAUUCCUAGUAGACGCAAGUCAUCAACUUGCAUCGAUUACGUCCCUGCCCUUUGUACACACCGCCCGUCGCUCCUACUGAUUGGAUGCUCCGGUGAAACGUCGGGAGAAUGCACCUGCGAUCAGCAAUGGUCCAGGUGCGUUUGAACUUCCUUAAAUUUGGGUUUCUAGAAGAAGGAGAAGUCGUAACAAGGUUUCCGU
Molecule: ribosomal RNA, 377 nt
Filed under: uncultured Plasmodiophoridae
Lineage: Eukaryota; Endomyxa; Phytomyxea; Plasmodiophorida
Description: SSU rRNA
Rfam family: Eukaryotic small subunit ribosomal RNA
Source: RNAcentral